Molecule: ribosomal RNA, 364 nt
Filed under: Klebsiella pneumoniae
Lineage: Bacteria; Pseudomonadati; Pseudomonadota; Gammaproteobacteria; Enterobacterales; Enterobacteriaceae
Also listed under: 1 other name
Description: bacterial SSU rRNA
Rfam family: Bacterial small subunit ribosomal RNA
Source: RNAcentral
UUUAUGGAGAGUUUGAUCCUGGCUCAGGAUGAACGCUGGCGGCGUGCCUAAUACAUGCAAGUCGAGCGAACGGACGAGAAGCUUGCUUCUCUGAUGUUAGCGGCGGACGGGUGAGUAACACGUGGAUAACCUACCUAUAAGACUGGGAUAACUUCGGGAAACCGGAGCUAAUACCGGAUAAUAUUUUGAACCGCAUGGUUCAAAAGUGAAAGACGGUCUUGCUGUCACUUAUAGAUGGAUCCGCGCUGCAUUAGCUAGUUGGUAAGGUAACGGCUUACCAAGGCAACGAUGCAUAGCCGACCUGAGAGGGUGAUCGGCCACACUGGAACUGAGACACGGUCCAGACUCCUACGGGAGGCAGCAG